AGCUCCAAUAGCAUAUAUUAACGUUGUUGCAGUUGAAAAGCUCGUAGUUGAACUUUUGGUAGGAGCGACCUGGCCUUGGGCGCAUGCCCUUGUUUGCCGUGUGUCGUGUCUGGCCAUCCUUUUCCGUUUCGGCGGGAAUCCUUUACUGUGAGUAAACUGGAGUGCUCAAAACAAGACGUUUGUUUGGUACAUUAAAGCAUGGAAUAAUAAGAUAGGACCUGGUUACUAUUUUGUUGGUUUGCAUAGCUAGGUAAUGAUUAACAGGGACAGUUGGGGGUAUUCGUAUUUAAUUGUCAGAGGUGAAAUUCUUGGAUUUAUGAAAGACGAACGACUGCGAAAGCAUUUACCAAGGAUGUUUUCA
Molecule: ribosomal RNA, 361 nt
Filed under: uncultured eukaryote
Lineage: Eukaryota
Description: SSU rRNA
Rfam family: Eukaryotic small subunit ribosomal RNA
Source: RNAcentral